GGCCCCUUUAAAUUGGGGGGGGUCCCAUUAAAUUGGGUUGGGUCCCUUUAAUUGGGGGGGGUCCCAUUAAAUUGGGUUGUGUCCCUUUAAAUUGGGGGGGGUCCCAUUAAAUUGGGUUGUGUCCCUUUAAAUUGGGGGGGUCCCAUUAAAUUGGGUUGUGUCCCUUUAAAUUGGGGGGGUCUCUGUGCCCCCCCCCCUCACCAACGCAUCGAGCCGGGCCCCGAAACCGCUCCCGACGGGGUCGAACUCAAACGCGCAUGCGCCGGCGGGAGGGGGAGCAGCCAGUAACCAUAGAGUCGCGAAGAGCGGCGGGAUCACCUGGAGGACCUCGGGGGAGGGGGAGGGGAGGGGGUUAGUGACGUCAUGAUGACGUCAUCACGGUUAGAUAGUUAUUUGGGGGGGGGGAGAGACCCCUCACUUACGUGCAGCGCUCCGGGGGGGGCCAUAGAGUGGGGAGGGGGAGGGGCUUAAAGGGGCGGGAUAGAGCGCCCACCCGGAAGCGGAAGUGUGAGAGACGUUAAGAGCGCCCCCACGCGGCGAGGAGGACAAGGAGACGCAGCCAAUCAGAACGAAGGGGCGGGGUUUAAUAGAAAAAGGGGCGUGGUUUAAUAGAAAAGGGGGCGUGGUUUAAUAGAAAAAGGGGCGUGGUUUAAUGGAACGUGAGAUUUGAUUCGCUACUAGAGGGGGCGUGUCCGUAUGUAAAUAAGGGCAGCGGCGCCGCGUGCAGCGCAGUUCCAGCUCGUAGUGGGCGCCGGGGGGGGGCUCCGAAUCCACUUCAGGACCCCCCAAUAGCCCCCAAUGGGGGACCCAGAGGCGGGGGGGGCGCCACGAGGGGGCAGACAGCGAGGCCUAUGGGGGAUGGGGGUGUUAGGGGUAAUAUAGGGGCUGGGAGACCCCUCAGUGUCCUUAAUGUCCCCCCACCCACCCCCAUAGACCCCCAGGUUCUUAGUCCCCCCCCCACCCCAUAGACCCCCCUCCUGUGUCCUCUAUACCCCCCAUAGACCCCUAUGUGUCUUUAAUGCCCCCCAAAUGACCCCUAUGUGUCCUCUAUACCCCCCAUAGACCCCUAUGUGUUCUCUUAACCCCCUCAUGACCUCUAUGUGUCCUCUAUACCCCCCAUAGGACCCUUAUGUGUCUCUAUACCCCCCCAUAGACCCCUAUGUGUCCUCUAUACCCCCCCAUAGACCCCUAUGUGUCCUCUAUACCCCCCCCAUAGACCCCUAUGUGUCCUCUAUACCCCCCCAUAGACCUCUAUGUGUUCUCUAUACCCCCCCAUAGACCCCUAUGUGUCCUCUAUACCCCCCCCAUAGACCCUAUGUGUCCUCUAUACCCCCCCAUAGACCCCUAUGUGUUCUCUAUACCCCCAUAGACCCCUAUGUGUUCUCUAUACCCCCCCAUAGAGACCUCUAUGAGUCCUCUAUACCCCCAUAGACCCCUAUGUGUCCUCUAUACCCCCCAUAGACCCCUAUGUGUCCUCUAUACCCCCCAUAGACCCCUAUGUGUCCUCUAUACCCCCCCAUAGACCCCUAUGUGUUCUCUAUACCCCCCCAUAGACCUCUAUGUGUCCUCUAUACCCCCCAUAGAACCUCUACGUGUCCUCUAUACCCCCAUAGACCCCUAUGUGUCCUCUAUACCCCCCAUAGACC
Long non-coding RNA from Coturnix japonica (Japanese quail), 1646 nucleotides. The record is from Ensembl. Lineage: Eukaryota; Metazoa; Chordata; Aves; Galliformes; Phasianidae.